Molecule: ribosomal RNA, 449 nt
Filed under: uncultured bacterium
Lineage: Bacteria
Description: partial 16S ribosomal RNA
Rfam family: Bacterial small subunit ribosomal RNA
Source: RNAcentral
AACGAACGCUGGCGGCAUGCCUAACACAUGCAAGUCGAACGAAGGCUUCGGCCUUAGUGGCGCACGGGUGCGUAACGCGUGGGAAUCUGCCCCUCGGUUCGGAAUAACAGUUAGAAAUGACUGCUAAUACCGGAUGAUGACUUCGGUCCAAAGAUUUAUCGCCGAGGGAUGAGCCCGCGUAAGAUUAGGUAGUUGGUGGGGUAAAGGCCUACCAAGCCGACGAUCUUUAGCUGGUCUGAGAGGAUGAUCAGCCACACUGGGACUGAGACACGGCCCAGACUCCUACGGGAGGCAGCAGUGGGGAAUAUUGGACAAUGGGCGAAAGCCUGAUCCAGCAAUGCCGCGUGAGUGAUGAAGGCCUUAGGGUUGUAAAGCUCUUUUACCAGGGAUGAUAAUGACAGUACCUGGAGAAUAAGCUCCGGCUAACUCCGUGCCAGCCGCCGCCGUAA